GACGAACGCUGGCGGCGUGCCUAAUACAUGCAAGUAGAACGCUGAAGGAGGAGCUUGCUUCUCUGGAUGAGUUGCGAACGGGUGAGUAACGCGUAGGUAACCUGCCUGGUAGCGGGGGAUAACUAUUUGAAACGAUAGCUAAUACCGCAUAAUAGCAGUUGUUGCAUGACAACUGUUUGAAAGGUGCAAUUGCACCACUACCAUAUGGACCUGCGUUGUAUUAGCUAGUUGGUGGGGUAACGGCUCACCAAGGCGACGCUACAUAGCCGACCUGAGAGGGGGAUCGGCCAACCUGGGACUGAGACACGGCCCAGACUGCUACGGGAGGCAGCAGUAGGGAAUCUUCGGCAAUGGCCGGCAGUCUGACCGCGCAACGCCGCGUGAGUGAAGAAGGUUUUAGGAUCGUAAAGCUCUGUUGUAAGAGAAGAACGAGUGUGAGAGUGGAAAGUUCACACUGUGACGGUAUCUUACCAGAAAGGGACGGCUAACUACGUG
RNAcentral lists this ribosomal RNA (495 nucleotides) under uncultured bacterium. Its description in RNAcentral is "partial 16S ribosomal RNA". It matches the Rfam family "Bacterial small subunit ribosomal RNA", at positions 28 to 507 of the family's 1533-position model. The record is from RNAcentral.